GGGAGACCUAAUUCAGGUAGGCGACGAAAAAAAAGUAGUCCCAACCAAGAAUCAAUCCCAAAAGGUCGGAGCGAGGCAAGAUUGGCUUUCAAACUAGGUUCUGGGUUCACACCAGACCUGAAUCAGGAACAAGGGCUAUUAGCUCAGGUGGUUAGAGCGCACCCCUGAUAAGGGUGAGGUCCCUGGUUCGAGUCCAGGAUGGCCCACCUGCACAGGUGGAAAAAAGAAAAAAAGCGAGGAAUCAGCACCUUAUCUUAUUUAUAUAAGAGAGAAUGCUGGCUCUGAGUUCAGAG
This 293-nucleotide transfer RNA is filed under the name uncultured Microcystis sp. RNAcentral describes it as "partial 16S-23S ribosomal RNA intergenic spacer". The stretch from base 133 to 206 matches the Rfam family "tRNA". The record is from RNAcentral. Lineage: Bacteria; Bacillati; Cyanobacteriota; Cyanophyceae; Chroococcales; Microcystaceae.